RNAcentral lists this ribosomal RNA (465 nucleotides) under uncultured bacterium. Its description in RNAcentral is "partial 16S ribosomal RNA". It matches the Rfam family "Bacterial small subunit ribosomal RNA", at positions 28 to 507 of the family's 1533-position model. The record is from RNAcentral.
GACGAACGCUGGCGGCGUGCUUAACACAUGCAAGUCGAACGGGAAGGCCCCUUUGGGGGUACUCGAGUGGCGAACGGGUGAGUAACACGUGAGUAACCUGCCCUUGACUUCGGGAUAACUUCAGGAAACUGGGGCUAAUACCGGAUAGGAAUCCUUGCUGCAUGGUGGGGGUUGGAAAGCUUCGGCGGUUUUGGAUGGCCUCGCGGCUUAUCAGCUUGUUGGUGGGGUAGUGGCUUACCAAGGCUUUGACGGGUAGCCGGCCUGAGAGGGCGACCGGCCACAUUGGGACUGAGAUACGGCCCAGACUCCGACGGGAGGCAGCAGUGGGGAAUAUUGCACAAUGGGAGGAAGCCUGAUGCAGCACCGCCGCGUGCGGGAUGACGGCGUUCGGGUUGUAAACCGCUUUCAGCAGGGGCGAAGCUUGUGGUGACGGUACCUGCAGAAGAAGCACCGGCUAACUACGUG